CGGGAGAACGGAGAACGGACAUUUCCGCAAUUGGAACAGCAGCUGACUUGAUGACGUCACCACAGUAGGCGGUCUUUGUUUACGCACGCAAGUAUCUCAUCUGCCAUCGCAGCUUGCUGAGGUGAAAUGCAUUCUGGGAUAUAUGUCUCUCACAAGAACAGACGAGCCUGCUUCGACGCAUGCCCGGUAAAAUGGGCGGGGCGAGUCACAUCCGGGUAUUAUGACCGUUCUCGGCCAGAUGCGGACUUGAGAAUUGGAACAGUACUCGGGCUGUGACUGAUGACGUUUCACGAGUCCACGAGAACAAAAGUCCACACAAGAACGCAUAUUGAGAAACGGCCCAUGUGUCUGUUGGACUGAUUCCAAUGCUGGAUUACUCGUGUCAUAGUGAGGAAAACACAGAACCUUCAAAUCCGACGUCUCCUCCUGCUUCGAUUUCAGACCCUCCACUGAAGAAUAACCCAUCGUUACAACCCCUCCACCAAGCGUUUAUCUUACAUCUCCCCUGCAUUAAAGCCAGCUUCUUUGAAUGCAAAGCUAAUACUUCAGGGACUUCAGCGAUGUCUGGAGAAAAUUCAAGAUGCACCAAUCAAUGAUUUUGUAUCAAUAAUGGAUCAAAUGACGAUGGGUAACGUGAAGGUUAAUUUGUGGUUCAGUCUGACCAUCCAUCUUUUUUCCAACAGUAGCAAGGGGAAGCGCCCACAGAGAACUGCCCUGCACUACCUACUCAUUGGGGCAGACAGACUCAGUUAGAGACAAAGCAGCAAUUGUUGGUGGAUGAACACCAAUUCUGAACCAAAAGAGGGGUGAGGAUCAUCUGAAAAGGAAUAACCGAACAUUGGUCACACCAACAACUUUGCUUUCAGGUUGUUAUUCAUCCCAACAUCCCGAAGCCAUUCCUUUUGCUCCAGUUCAGUGCCCUGUCUCAAGAUAUCAGAAGAUGAGUCAGUGAAAACUUCAGUCCGUCCCAGAUCUUGUCGAUACUGCUACAGGCUCUUUGAGAAUGGCGCUGGACGCUAUUGCUAUAGAAAGAGGAAUGGCAACAAGAAUGAGGUUUGCUCCUUGGUAUAACCCUCAAAUCGGAAACUUAGAGCAAACUGUGCGGAAACUUGAAAGGUUAUGGCGUUCCACCUAAUCAGAGGGAUCUAGGCUAGUUUGACAAGACAGCCUUAAAACAUAUAAGAAGGCUCUCCGUAACCCAAGAGCAUCUUAUUACUCAUCAUUAAUAGAGAAAAAAAACUACAGGUUUCUCAGCACUGUAGCCAAACUGACAGAGUCACAGCUCUGUUGAUACGUGUAUUCCUUUGGGCCACAGUAGUAACGUCUUCAUGAAUUUCUUCAAUGAUAAGAUUCUGACUAAGAAAAUGUAUGGUCUCCUGCCUUCAACCAGUGCCGACCCGUCCUAGGAUGUAGGAACCUUGGAUGCAGCAGUGGGCCCUGAUACCUACUUGGAUGGCUUCUCUUCCAUCAACCUUGAUCAACUGACUUCUACAAAUUUCAAAGUCUAAAUCUUCUACUUGAUUCCGACUAAGCUGCUUAAGGAAGUUUUUCUUUUAAUUAGCAUGUCAUAACUGGAUAUUAUGAAUCAGCAGAGGUGUAGGCUAACUACAGACCUAUCUCUAAUCUUCCCUUCCUCUCCAUCAGGAGGCUGAAGACCUCUGACCUCUCGCCAAGACCUCUCACCACACAAACAGUUUCUUUCCGUCUGUAAUUGGGCUCAUCAACAGAGCCCGAGUGCCCCACUGACUGACUGUCAUUUUGGUAAUACAUUCCUGAUUCUUAAUCCUGGUGGUUGUCCUUGUAGUGGUCCUGCCAUACACCUGCCUUACCACUCGCAAUAAUUGAAUCAUUUCUGUCAUAGGAAUUUAAUGUAUUGUGCAUAUUUCAUACUUUCAUUCUGUACACAUGACAUCCAUUGUAGUUUGUGCAUCCCGGGAGAGGGAUCCCUCCUCUAAUGUUCUCCCUCAAGCAAUGACAUCACAACCCUUAUUUAGCAACUUUUGACAAAAAAAUUAGACCUGCUACGAAUUUCCCCAGAAAAUAUGUUGGCAACACUGAAAUGAGUACAUCUGGUUACUAUGACCCUAGAUAGAGAAAAAGGUGAUGGCUGGCUUUUUUAACCACCUCCCAGUGUCUGUUCAGAACAACUCCUAAUAGGUAUGCCUUCUGACAUGUUCUAGCAUGGAAACCCCUUAAUCCUCAGUAGGCUCAAUUAGUCCGCCUUUUGAAAAUGAGAAUGUGACAAUUUACAAAGAGACAAAGCAGAGAAAAGGUGUGUGAGCAACUUGUUCAAAACCCUACAACCCUACACCCUACCUUUUUAUAGAUUGGAUUAUAUUCUGGUGGUACACACUGGAUCUGAAUGUCCAGUACCAGUCAAUGGUUUGGACACACAUUCUCAUUGAAUUGAAUUAGAAAAUGUGUCAAAGGGUUUGACUGGUACUGUACUUAAAGAGCAUAGAGCCUCAAAAAAGCAUGACAAUGCCAUCAUUAAUGGAUCCUCAACCAGCCUGUUUAAUCUGGGCCAGCAAAGGAUCAGGGUGAGGACUAAACAAAAAGACCUCUGUCCCUCUCUGGUAUUGUCAAUAUGGUGCAGUCAUCGGCGAACCAAUCAAAGGUUCAUCAACCGGCAUAUUUAAAACGGGUCCUCACAUUGCCAGCCAAGGACAACUGAUGGCUCAUUAUCCUGCAGCCGAAAAUUGCAGCCAUCCUGAACAGAAUUUCAAUUAUGCACUUCUUAAAACACUCACCGGAUUAAAGAUGUUACAAAAGGCCACACACUCCAAUCAGGCUGACUGAUUAGCAUUUCAUAAAGAGGAUGAAAGCUGUGAUUCUGAAUGCAGUAAAUCAGGGUUUUUUUCCUGCUACAUAUUGGUCCUUUGGUGCCCUCGUCUACUUUAUCCGCAUGGUGAAUUGUAUUAAUGCAGAGCAAUAUUUUUAACUUAAAUAACUAUCUGGUUAAAUCUUAAAGUGUUUAAAUGAGUACAGCUAUUUUCCUUUUCAUGAACAGUCCCCUAUCAAGGCCUAAGCACACAACAAUAAUCUGAUGUAUUGCUGCAGUGAAACUGCCUUUGUGUAUCAUUCUGUUAAUAACUAACUUUCACUCGGAAAUCUGUAGCUUUAACUUUUUUGUUUUGAUUUUGCAGCUAAUUCAGUCUCAUCUUGUACACAUCCUUGAAACAGAACCCUAAGUAUUAGUAAUAUUCAUCCAGGGACUGCAGUUAGUAACAGGGAUCACUGAUGGCUUGAUGAUGUAGUGAUGAGUGUUUGGGGAGUGAGAGAUUAACUAAAUAUGUAACCGGACAGAAAUGCUUUUGAAAAGCAACAAUGUUUAAGUCAAUUUACACUGCAUGAAAAGUGAGAUUUUCGUCCCCGUAAACGCCCUAAUUUCCGACAAUUUCCGACAAUUUGCAACCCGCGCACGUCGCGUUUGUCUGUGCCACAAAUUGUCGGAAACGAACCAUGACGUAGGUGGAGAGCUGGCGGAG
This is a long non-coding RNA of Gasterosteus aculeatus aculeatus (three-spined stickleback), 3488 nucleotides long. The record is from Ensembl. NCBI's taxonomy places the organism in Eukaryota, Metazoa, Chordata, Actinopteri, Perciformes, Gasterosteidae.